AAUUUAUGUCCUUCUUCCAUAAAGGAGCCGAAUGACAUCAAAGUUUCUUGUUUGGUUUCGAAUUAGAGAUGUUCAAAAUGAUGAACUCAAAGCCAAUCAAGAAUUCAGAAGGAAUCAAAUUCUUGUUAUACAUUAGUUCCGAUCCUCAACCCUCUUAAAUUAUUAGAAUGAUUAAUCAUGCAGGCACAUGAUAUAAAAUGUGGGGAAAAAAAAAAGAUUCUUAUGGAAAUAAGUAUAUGUAACAUUAAUCUAAUGUGGAAAUUACUUUAAUUUUUUUCUUUUUCUUUUUUGGUAGGAGAAAUUACAUUAAAUUGCAUCUAAUCCAAUGCUAUGCUUCUUCCUCAACUUUUUUCAUGGUGGGCAACUAAUCUUCAAUAUUAGGAGAGGAAACAAUAGCACGUGACCCGGGAUGGAAAGUUUCUCCAUCUAAGAUGGCCCACUUGAAAACAAAAAUAAAAAGGUCCAAAGAUCAGAAAGAGUUGCUGAACAUUAUUUAUAGGAAAAAGAUUCUUUGAACGGACCGCAGAGGGUGCACUAGUAAAAGAGCCUAUCUCUCUCCUUGCACGAAAUGAUAUUUUUCCUCCUUACUUUUGGAACUUUUUCAUUGUUCUUCAUUAGUGUGCUUUUUAUGCUGCUUGUUUAGAGAACCUUCUCUCAACUUAUUUUACCCGGAGGCUUAAGAGGGUGCUUUAUGUCCUUUUCUGUUUUUGAAAAUUUUCUUAAUCCAAUGAUUAAUUCAAAGAGAAUGAGUAUCA
This is a long non-coding RNA of Macadamia integrifolia, 755 nucleotides long. RefSeq lists it as uncharacterized. Lineage: Eukaryota; Viridiplantae; Streptophyta; Magnoliopsida; Proteales; Proteaceae. The record is from RefSeq and is a predicted model, not a curated record. The transcript has 2 exons.